AAAUUAACAUAUCUGAAUGACAUAAUUUUAAAUCAAGUCAUAGCAGCUAAGAAAGGAUAGCUAUAUCUCCAAAACACCUAAAACCAUUAAGCAGGAACACAAUGGAGAUUUGAGGAUUAUCUCAAACACGGGGAGAGCAGCAGUGAGUGACCCGGGUUCAAUUCCCAUCAAAGGAACCAAAAUGUUUUGUUCUUUGCAAAAUGCUCUCAUCAAUGGGCAAGAAGCGGGGUUCGAGGUUGAAGCAGGACCAUCAAUGGUGAAUGGAUGGUUGAGUACAGGUUGUAGAGUAGGAAACUGAGAUAGGAUGUAAAGGAUGUAAAGGAAUUUCUAG
Molecule: long non-coding RNA, 331 nt
Organism: Ipomoea nil (Japanese morning glory)
Lineage: Eukaryota; Viridiplantae; Streptophyta; Magnoliopsida; Solanales; Convolvulaceae
Exons: 3
Source: RefSeq, a predicted model, not a curated record